This is a long non-coding RNA of Pristis pectinata (smalltooth sawfish), 1474 nucleotides long. RefSeq lists it as uncharacterized. The transcript has 3 exons. The record is from RefSeq and is a predicted model, not a curated record. Lineage: Eukaryota; Metazoa; Chordata; Chondrichthyes; Rhinopristiformes; Pristidae.
GCCCGCUCCAGCUGAUCUGGGUCAAUCGAAAUUUCUAAGACCCACCACGGACUUGUAUGAGGUUAGUGUGUGGAGGGAAAUGGGCUGCGGGAGAUAGAUGUGUGCUACAGGCAGGGCACAGUGCAGCAGACUGCAGACUGCAUGAGAGGACUGCCCUUCUUCCUCGGCUCCUCCUCGUCUGUACGUCGCUGUUGUGACGAAAUUAACUUCUGACCAACGUUGCGAAAGGCUGGAACUGCAAACAAACAAAAGCUUUUGUUCCUCUUUUCACCUCCCUUCAACUGCCGGCACCAUCCAAAAUGAAAACAAAUGAACAUCUCUUGGUCUGCACUGUUCAUGUUACAAGCUGUUAAAACAGGUAUAAACACAGCAGAAAAGGAUUAAAAAAUUGGAAGGAGCAUUUGUUACAUCAGACUCAAAAGAUGAGUUAUAUGUGGAAGAAUCUAGGUAUUGCUGCUGACUGGCAUUUAUUGCCCAUCCUUCCCCGUCCUUGAGAAGGUGGAGGUGAGCUGCUGCAGUCCUGCAGAAGGUAUUCCCUCCUUCAUGUUGUUCCAGUAAUCCGGGGCUUGGACUCGUGGAACAAUGAAGGAAAGUGAGACCAAGCCCAGUGUUUUCCAUGAUGGUCUAUGGAAGUAUCUGAAGGCAGAAACUGAACUGAACAAGGUUCUCCAUUGGCAGCCUGGUCUCCUCGUGAUCGAUGAUCAACUCACUGGCACCCCCUGGUUCUCGGGCAUCUUCUUCAUCAGUGAUGCUGUGGAAAUCUUGCAAUUUUGGAUCUAAUGAACUAUCUGCUGGUUGCUUCAAGCAAGCACACUGGAAGAUCUGGAACAUCCUUAGUCAGGAAUUAGCACCACAUUUAUCAUUUUCCAGAGAGGAACAACGUUUGAGAGGAAUAUCAUUGUCCUGAUGUGUAUUUCUCCCAGGAUCAGUGUGAGGCUUCAGGUUUGGAUCUGUUGUGUGAUUACAUGAGACCUGCUUUGAGAGGUUGGUUGUUGAAUGUGGGAUCUACUAAUCCUUUCCAGGAUCCUGGCCUUAAAGAGGAAGGAGAAAUGUUCUUUCUAAUGUUGAGGGGCAUUUUGUACUUUCUCAGGUAGGACCCUGAGGGUCUGGGUGAAGGUGUUGUACUGAUCACUGGAGUCUCUAUCCCACCCCAGCUUCCUCAGCCCCACAGACCUGCCGGCCUGGCUGAGACCAUCUGUAAUCAGCCAUUCUCAGAGAAACAAAAGACCGCAGAUGCUGGAAUCUGGAUGAAAAACAUCAUGAUGCUGGAGGAAAUCAGCAGGCCAGGCAGCAUCUGUGGAGAAAAGCAGGCGGUCAACGUUUCGGGUCAGGACCCUUCUUCAGGACUGAAGAUAGGAAAAGGGGAAGCCCAAUAUAUAGGAGGGAAAAGCAGAGCAGUGAUAGGUGGACAAAAGAGGGGAGGCGGGGUGGGCACAGGGUGGUGAUAGGUAGAUGCAGGUAAGAGAUAGUGAUA